Molecule: ribosomal RNA, 441 nt
Filed under: uncultured bacterium
Lineage: Bacteria
Description: partial 16S ribosomal RNA
Rfam family: Bacterial small subunit ribosomal RNA
Source: RNAcentral
CCUACGGGUGGCUGCAGUGGGGGAUAUUGCACAAUGGGGGGAACCCUGAUGCAGCGACGCCGCGUGGGUGAAGGAGUGCUUCGGCAUGUAAAGCCCUAUCGGCAGGGAAGAAGCAAGACGGUACCUGACUAAGAAGCCCCGGCUAACUACGUGCCAGCAGCCGCGGUAAUACGUAGGGGGCGAGCGUUAUCCGGAUUCACUGGGUGUAAAGGGAGCGUAGACGGCCAUGCAAGCCAGGGGUGAAAGCCCGGGGGCCAACCCCGGAACUGACCUUGGAACUGCAUGGCUGGAGUGCGGGAGGGGCAGGCGGAAUUCCUGGUGUAGCGGGGAAAGGCGGAGAUAGGAGGAGGAACACCGGCGGCGAAGGCGGCCGGCUGGACCGCGACUGACGUUGAGGCGCGAAAGCGUGGGGAGCGAACAGGAGUAGAUACCCGUGUAGUC